Molecule: ribosomal RNA, 449 nt
Filed under: uncultured bacterium
Lineage: Bacteria
Description: partial 16S ribosomal RNA
Rfam family: Bacterial small subunit ribosomal RNA
Source: RNAcentral
GUCGAGAAUCUUUCACAAUGGGGGCAACCCUGAUGGAGCGACGCCGCGUGGAGGAUAAGGUCUUCGGAUUGUAAACUCCUGUCAUGCGUGAACAAGGUUGCUUGGUUAAUACCUGGGCAAAUUGAUGGUAACGCAAGAGGAAGAGACGGCUAACUCUGUGACAGCAGCCGCGGUAAUACAGAGGUCUCAAGCGUUGUUCGGAAUCACUGGGCGUAAAGGGUGCGUAGGUGGCGUGGUAAGUCAGAUGUGAAAGCCCGGGGCUCAACCUCGGAACUGCAUCCGAUACUGCCAUGCUAGAGUACUGGAGAGGUGACUAGAAUUCUCGGUGUAGCAGUGAAAUGCGUAGAUAUCGAGAGGAAUACCAAAGGCGUAGGCAGGUCACUGGACAGUUACUGACACUGAGGCACGAAGGCCAGGGGAGCGAACGGGAUUAGAAACCCGGGUAGUCC